This 301-nucleotide ribosomal RNA is filed under the name uncultured bacterium. RNAcentral describes it as "partial 16S ribosomal RNA". It matches the Rfam family "Bacterial small subunit ribosomal RNA", at positions 509 to 807 of the family's 1533-position model. The record is from RNAcentral.
CAGCAGCCGCGGUAAUACGUAGGGUGCAAGCGUUAAUCGGAAUUACUGGGCGUAAAGCGUGCGCAGGCGGUUAUAUAAGUCAGAUGUGAAAUCCCCGGGCUCAACCUGGGAACUGCAUUUGAGACUGUAUGGCUAGAGUGUGUCAGAGGGGGGUGGAAUUCCACGUGUAGCAGUGAAAUGCGUAGAGAUGUGGAGGAACACCGAUGGCGAAGGCAGCCCCCUGGGCCAAUACUGACGCUCAUGCACGAAAGCGUGGGGAGCAAACAGGAUUAGAUACCCCGGUAGUCCCUGUCUCUUAUAC